ACAUAAAUAUAUACAGAUAAAUCAACAGACGAGAUCCAAAGAUUCUCAAUAUAGAAAGCACUAAGUAGCGCUCAAAUGAUUUGAGCUUACACUCCGAAAUCUUUGCCGAGGACCAAGUCCUAAGAGUAAAGUGUGGCUUCAAGAGGAAUCCGGGUGAGCACGUAUGGAGUUAAUUAU
Molecule: long non-coding RNA, 177 nt
Organism: Octopus sinensis (East Asian common octopus)
Lineage: Eukaryota; Metazoa; Mollusca; Cephalopoda; Octopoda; Octopodidae
Exons: 3
Source: RefSeq, a predicted model, not a curated record